AGUGAACGCUGGCGGUAGGCCUAACACAUGCAAGUCGAACGGCAGCACAGUAAGAGCUUGCUCUUACGGGUGGCGAGUGGCGGACGGGUGAGGAAUACAUCGGAAUCUACUUUUUCGUGGGGGAUAACGUAGGGAAACUUACGCUAAUACCGCAUACGACCUACGGGUGAAAGCAGGGGAUCUUCGGACCUUGUGCGAUUGAAUGAGCCGAUGUCGGAUUAGCUAGUUGGCGGGGUAAAGGCCCACCAAGGCGAGGAUCCGUAGCUGGUCUGAGAGGAUGAUCAGCCGCACUGGAACUGAGACACGGUCCAGACUCCUACGGGAGGCAGCAGUGGGGAAUAUUGGACAAUGGGCGCAAGCCUGAUCCAGCCAUACUGCGUGGGUGAAGAAGGCCUUCGGGUUGUAAAGCCCUUUUGUUGGGAAAGAAAAGCAGCAGGUUAAUACCCCGCUGUUCUGACGGUACCCAAAGAAUAAGCACCGGCUAACUUCGUG
RNAcentral lists this ribosomal RNA (492 nucleotides) under uncultured bacterium. RNAcentral describes it as "partial 16S ribosomal RNA". It matches the Rfam family "Bacterial small subunit ribosomal RNA", at positions 29 to 507 of the family's 1533-position model. The record is from RNAcentral.